CCUAUGGGGGGCAGCAGGCGCGAAAACUUCUCAAUGCACGAAAGUGUGAAGAGGGGAUACUCAGUGCUUACGCUUCUGGCGUAGGCUUUUGUCGAGCGUAGACAGCUCGAUGAAUAAGUGGUGGGCAAGACUGGUGCCAGCCGCCGCGGUAACACCAGCGCCACAAGUGGUCAUCACGAUUAUUGGGCCUAAAGCGUCCGUAGCUGGUGCGGUGCAUCCCUUGUGAAAUUGUUCGGCUUAACCGAACAGCGUGCAGGGGACACGGCCGCGCUCGAGAUUGGGAGGGGGUAGAAGUAUUCCAUAGGGACCGGUAAAAUGGGAUAAUCUAUGGAGGACUACCGAUGGCGAAGGCAUCUACCCAGAACAAAUCUGACAGUGAGGGACGAAAGCCAGGGGAGCGAACCGGAUUAGAUACCCCCGUAGUCC
RNAcentral lists this ribosomal RNA (426 nucleotides) under uncultured euryarchaeote. RNAcentral describes it as "bacterial SSU rRNA". It matches the Rfam family "Archaeal small subunit ribosomal RNA", at positions 322 to 747 of the family's 1478-position model. Lineage: Archaea; Methanobacteriati; Methanobacteriota. The record is from RNAcentral.